UCUCCGUAGGUGAACCUGCGGAGGGAUCAUUACUGAGUGAGGGUCUCCGGGCCCGACCUCCAACCCUUUUGUGAACCACCUCGUUGCUCCGGGGGCCCCACGCCGCGAACGGCAGGGUCGCCCCCGAAGCCCAUCAAACCCUGCGUAACCAAGUCGUCGGAGUUUAAACAAAUUAAACAAAACUUUCAACAACGGAUCUCUUGGUUCGGGCAUCGAUGAAGAACGCAGC
This 229-nucleotide unclassified non-coding RNA is filed under the name uncultured fungus. Its description in RNAcentral is "sequence contains ITS1, 5.8S rRNA gene". The stretch from base 181 to 229 matches the Rfam family "5.8S ribosomal RNA", at positions 1 to 49 of the family's 154-position model. Lineage: Eukaryota; Fungi. The record is from RNAcentral.